CUUCUUUCUCUACAGCCUCUCCGAUCAACAGCUUUACGUGUGCUGCCACCUUGUGGAUGAUUUGAAUAACUGAAAUCAGAAGAGGCGAGAGGAGACACGUCUGGAAAAUGUCUAGGCCUGUAAUCUUGGUUUGUUUCAUUGUGGUCUUGUGACUGGAUCAGAGGCGUCUCAGGGCACGUGACCGACAGCUACCAGCUAAAUGUUUGUGUCUGUAAGCAAGGACAACUUGGCAGCCAACCAGUAA
This is a long non-coding RNA of Lampris incognitus (smalleye Pacific opah), 244 nucleotides long. RefSeq lists it as uncharacterized. The record is from RefSeq and is a predicted model, not a curated record. Lineage: Eukaryota; Metazoa; Chordata; Actinopteri; Lampriformes; Lampridae. The transcript has 3 exons.